This 497-nucleotide ribosomal RNA is filed under the name uncultured bacterium. RNAcentral describes it as "partial 16S ribosomal RNA". It matches the Rfam family "Bacterial small subunit ribosomal RNA", at positions 28 to 507 of the family's 1533-position model. The record is from RNAcentral.
GAUGAACGCUGGCGGCGUGCCUAAUACAUGCAAGUCGAGCGAACGGACGAGAAGCUUGCUUCUCUGAUGUUAGCGGCGGACGGGUGAGUAACACGUGGAUAACCUACCUAUAAGACUGGGAUAACUUCGGGAAACCGUAGCUAAUACCGGAUAAUAUUUUGAACCGCAUGGUUCAAAAGUGAAAGACGGUCUUGCUGUCGCGUAUAGAUGGAUCCGCGCUGCAUUAGCUAGGUGGUAAGGUAACGGCUUAGCAAGGCAACGAUGCAUAGCCGACCUGAGAGGGUGAUAGGCCACAUUGGAACGGAGACACGGUCCAGACUCCUACGGGAGGCAGCAGUAGGGAAUCUUACGCAAUGGGCGAAAGCCUGACGGAGCAACGCCGCGUGAGUGAUGAAGGUCUUCGGAUCGUAAAACUCUGUUAUUAGGGAAGAACAUAUGUGUAAGUAACUGUGCACAUCUUGACGGUACCUACUCAGAAAGCCACGGCUAACUACGUG